RNAcentral lists this transfer RNA (133 nucleotides) under Candidatus Thorarchaeota archaeon. RNAcentral's name for it is "tRNA-OTHER". It matches the Rfam family "tRNA". From Rfam's summary of the family: Transfer RNA (tRNA) molecules are approximately 80 nucleotides in length. Their secondary structure includes four short double-helical elements and three loops (D, anti-codon, and T loops). Lineage: Archaea; Promethearchaeati; Candidatus Thorarchaeota. The record is from RNAcentral.
GCCCCAGUGGCUUAGUGGCUAUAAUAUCUGUGAUUCCACCUAGAUGCAGUAUGAGCAUCUGUUAAUUCACAGAUAUGGUCUUAGCGGCUGACUUGUAAUCAGCAGGUCGCGAGUUCAACUCUCGCCUGGGGCU